AGCUCCUCGGGGCUGGGGAGGACCAGGAGGGGAAGGAGGGAGCCGUCGUCGUGCAGCGGUCGCUUCCGCGCGUGUUUCGGGGCGCCUGGUGCCGCGCUGCUCCGGCAUGGCUGCGGGCUGCCUGCCGGGAAAGCCGCGUGUGGGCUGCGCGGAGGGACGCGGGACGGUUAUAGGAGGCGUUGUGAUGCUCCCGAGAGAUGAGAUGGGCGCUCUGGGCUCAGCCCGGUGUCCCGCCGCGCUUUGGCUGUGGCAGAGGCUCGCUGUGUAGGGGUGCCGUGGUAUUAGGCUGCUCAGACGGAACCCAAGUGAGGAAAGCGGUUGUUUUGCUCGAUUUCCCCCAGCACGGCACUUAUUUCCUUGCCAAAAAUAGCUGUGGUCGGUGCUAACGGAGCUGUGUUGCUGUAUCCCCAGGGAUCAAAUGGGGCACCGAGUCCUUCGUUAACACCUGAACUUUGUCCCAAGGAGGUUGUGGAUGCCCCAUCCCUGCAGGCAUUCAAGGCCAGGCUGGAUGUGGCUCUGGGCAGCCUGGUCUGCUGGUUGGCGACCCUGCACAUAGCAGGGGGUUGGAACUGGAUGAGCAUUGUGGUCCUUUUCAACCUAGGCUAUUCUAUGAUCCUUCCUUCCCUUGUCCCAGAACUCCUUGUUUUUACUUCCUUUCUGUUAACCUUUCAGCUGGAUGCUAACAACUCCCACGCCUGUGGUGGGAAGGAAGGAGCGCUUCCUUGCCUCUUGGAGGUGGGCAGCGUGCUCUGAAUGGAGCCUUGCUGCUCAGGGACAGAUGUGGCUUUGGGGCGUCUCACCGGUGUAAGAACAGAAGGGUUCAAGUGGCUGCUUUCCUACAAUUUCCAUGUGCUUUUAAGCCACAGGUGGGCAGAACGGACCUGUGCUGUUGCAGUGGGAAGGCAGGAAGGUGAAAAAAGUCGUGUUGUCACAGUGGUGGCUGACUUGCUUUUAAAGCUAGGCAGCAAUGGCAGGUGAAGACUGUGUAAGAAAACGCCCGUCUGGCUCCACUACAACCUACAAGAGCCCUGAGAAUGAAGAAAUGCAGAGGAGACCUGAUGGUGACAGAUCCUUUCAAAACUCCAGCAAUGGCCGCGUUGAUGUGGACCAUGUGAUAACAAGGAAGAUGCAGCUAAUAGCAGAAGCUGAGGUAAAUAUACUCUAAUGCUUCUUUGUGGGGAGGAGCAGGAUAAUUG
This is a non-coding RNA of Meleagris gallopavo (turkey), 1196 nucleotides long. Lineage: Eukaryota; Metazoa; Chordata; Aves; Galliformes; Phasianidae. The record is from RefSeq and is a predicted model, not a curated record.